GAGACCGGCGCACGGGUGCGUAACGCGUAUGCAAUCUACCUUUUACAGAGGGAUAGCCCAGAGAAAUUUGGAUUAAUACCUCAUAGUAUAACGACUCGGCAUCGAGAUGUUAUUAAAGUUCCAACGGUAAAAGAUGAGCAUGCGUCCCAUUAGCUAGUUGGUGUGGUAACGGCACACCAAGGCAACGAUGGGUAGAGGUCCUGAGAGGGAGAUCCCCCACACUGGUACUGAGACACGGACCAGACUCCUACGGGAGGCAGCAGUGAGUAAUAUUGGUCAAUGGGCGCAAGCCUGAACCAGCCAUGCCGCGUGCAGGACGACGGUCCUAUGGAUUGUAAACUGCUUUUGUACAGGAAGAAACACUCCCUCGUGAGGGAGCUUGACGGUACUGUAAGAAUAAGGAUCGGCUAACUCCGUGCCAGCAGCCGCGGUAAUACGGAGGAUCCAAGCGUUAUCCGGAAUCAUUGGGUUUAAAGGGUGCGUAGGCGGCCUAAUAAGUCAGUGGUGAAAGCCUCCAGCUUAACUGGAGAACUGCCAUUGAUACUGUUAGGCUUGAGUAUACUUGAGGUAGGCGGAAUUGACAGUGUAGCGGUGAAAUGCAUAGAUAUUGUCAAGAACACCAAUUGCGAAGGCAGCUUACUAAAUUAUAACUGACGCUGAGGCACGAAAGUGUGGGUAUCAAACAGGAUUAGAUACCCUGGUAGUCCACACUGUAAACGAUGAUUACUCGCUGUUGGCGAUAAACUGCCAGCGGCCAAGCGAAAGCGUUAAGUAAUCCACCUGGGGAGUACGCCG
RNAcentral lists this ribosomal RNA (795 nucleotides) under uncultured bacterium. RNAcentral's name for it is "bacterial SSU rRNA". It matches the Rfam family "Bacterial small subunit ribosomal RNA", at positions 91 to 887 of the family's 1533-position model. The record is from RNAcentral.